UACGUAGGGUGCGAGCGUUAAUCGGAAUUACUGGGCGUAAAGCGUGCGCAGGCGGUCUGUUAAGACAGAUGUGAAAUCCCCGGGCUUAACCUGGGAAUGGCGAUGGAGACUGCAAGGCUAGAGUUUGGCAGAGGGGGGUAGAAUUCCACGUGUAGCAGUGAAAUGCGUAGAGAUGUGGAGGAACACCGAUGGCGAAGGCAGCCCCCUGGGUCAAAACUGACGCUCAUGCACGAAAGCGUGGGGAGCAAACAGG
RNAcentral lists this ribosomal RNA (253 nucleotides) under uncultured bacterium. Its description in RNAcentral is "partial 16S ribosomal RNA". It matches the Rfam family "Bacterial small subunit ribosomal RNA", at positions 524 to 776 of the family's 1533-position model. The record is from RNAcentral.